This 433-nucleotide ribosomal RNA is filed under the name uncultured bacterium. RNAcentral describes it as "partial 16S ribosomal RNA". It matches the Rfam family "Bacterial small subunit ribosomal RNA", at positions 29 to 507 of the family's 1533-position model. The record is from RNAcentral.
AACGAACGCUGGCGGCAUGCCUAACACAUGCAAGUCGAACGAGACCUUCGGGUCUAGUGGCGCACGGGUGCGUAACGCGUGGGAACCUGCCUUUAGGUUCGGAAUAACUCAGAGAAAUUUGAGCUAAUACCGGAUGAUGUCUUCGGACCAAAGAUUUAUCGCCUUUAGAUGGGCCCGCGUUGGAUUAGCUAGUUGGUGGUGUAAAGGCCUACCAAGGCGACGAUCCAUAGCUGGUCUGAGAGGAUGAUCAGCCACACUGGGACUGAGACACGGCCCAGACUCCUACGGGAGGCAGCAGUGUGUAAUAUUGGACAAUGGGCGAAAGCCUGAACCAGCAAUGCCGCGUGAGUGAUGAAGGCCUUAGGGUUGUAAAGCUCUUUUAACCGAGAUGAUAAUGACAGUAUCGGGAGAAUAAGCUCCGGCUAACUCCGUG